UAGAUGAGAAGUAAAUUUUUGUAAAUUUCUGUAAGUAAAUUUAGCAUUUUAAUAAUGUAAAUUCCACUACAUACUGUAAAUUGCACUUGUUCCCACUUACUGUGUAUCUUUUAACCUUUAUCUCAUUAUUUAUUAGAGCUUUUUUUUUCUCAGUUAAAAUUGCUCAGCUGUUACCCAUAUACAUGUGUCCUUUCUACCUCAGGAGCAUUAUUAUGAGCCAGUCUCCCAUUGUGGAUUCCUAAACUGCGCAACCUUAGACGGAAUCUCGACCAGGGGCAGAGACGUUAUAAGAAGCGAAAAGUGACAGAUGACUGUGGUGAAGACAAGAAGCUCAGGCAAGAGGAUGGGAAUACCAGCAGCACAGAUGAGUGUGUCACUCUGAUCAAAAGAUUGCGGCCCUCAGCUGAGAACCUUCCAACUAUCAUGUCAGGCAUGGAGGAAACAUACACCAGUCGCAGAGCCUGGAUUAGCAAGGACUCCCCCACUGCCGCUGAAAUAUUCAGAGAGUACCCACAGUUUUUUGGACAUGCCAAGUCUGGUGGACUUGGAGUUUGGCAAGCUUACAGGAGGAAAGACGGAUCUCUUUUUACGAAAAUGGGAAGCCAGUAUCAUUCCGAAGCUCAAAUCAGUAGCUGCCCUGGAAACAAGAAUCCCCCCGCCGUGUGUUAACACACCUGCUCCCACCAGUUAGUGCCAGUCGUUGCAGCCUUAAAUCAGCUAUAACCCACUUGGUUGAUUUUGCACUGCCUGGAACAAGUAUUGCAUCGUUUUGCAGUGAUCCUGAAGCAUCAUCCACAACACACCAACCCCAGCUGAUAUGCAUCGGUGAUCUAAAGAGUGCAACCAGGCAGUACAUCAUUGUUGCUAAGAAUGACAGAGUAACCAUUUCUCCGAAUGAAGCCCAGACGUGUGUUGUGGAUAAGCUUUUCAAACUGUACUGGGUAUGUAACUUGUCCUAUCCAGCACCGCUUGUCUUCACCUUCUUUGAGUUUGUCUAUGACCUGCCGCUGUCCACCCAAAGGAAAACCAAAGUACUGGAGCUGAUUGCACAGAUUAAAGCAUGCAAGUAAAAUGUUCACCUGUCCAAAAUGUAGAGAGUCUCUGUUCACAAAGGUGAGAAACCUCAUUUGGCAUCUUUGUCAAAUACACUGCUUAUCUGGACUCUGACCAUUUUUAUGCCUAUGCAGUGGAAAGGUCAGACAAUAUGAACUGAUUGGCUGAAAUUUUUGAUUUUCGGCCUUUAUAUAUAGUGACAAGCUUUGAUGCUAAUAAGCUGUAUUUAAACCCAAGGUACAAAAUUGUAUAACCUGGAUGCUAUAUUUGCCAAAAUGUAUGUUUUUCUGUUUGCAUGCAACUGCACAUUUGUUGAAUGUUGACAAUUUGUUGAAGAUGACAACUGUUACCUUUAAAAUUUUUUAAUUCAAUUUAAUUAUUGUCUGGACAUGAAAAAAAAAAAAAUAUAUAUAUAUGAUAUUUUGCCCUUUUUUCAAUUUUUUUGACAUUUUAAUGAUCUGGAGAGAUAGAAAGUUAGUCACAUAUGAAUUUUGUUUGAUUUUGUCAAGUAAAAAUUCUGACAGCUGUUGUUUAUUCAGUUUGUAAUGAUUUAUAAUAUGCUAAAUAAAAAAUGGAAUUCAAUAAAUGUAUAAUAUAUA
Long non-coding RNA from Oreochromis aureus, 1652 nucleotides. RefSeq lists it as uncharacterized. The transcript has 3 exons. The record is from RefSeq and is a predicted model, not a curated record. Lineage: Eukaryota; Metazoa; Chordata; Actinopteri; Cichliformes; Cichlidae.